RNAcentral lists this ribosomal RNA (292 nucleotides) under uncultured bacterium. RNAcentral describes it as "partial 16S ribosomal RNA". It matches the Rfam family "Bacterial small subunit ribosomal RNA", at positions 505 to 796 of the family's 1533-position model. The record is from RNAcentral.
GUGUCAGCCGCCGCGGUAAUACGGAGGGUGCAAGCGUUGUCCGGAAUCACUGGGCGUAAAGGGCGCGUAGGCGGCUCAUGAAGGCUGUGGUGAAAGUCCGGGGCUCAACCUCGGAUCGGCCGUGGCGACUCGUGGGCUGGAGCACUGUAGAGGCAGGUGGAAUUCCGGGUGUAGCGGUGGAAUGCGUAGAGAUCCGGAAGAACACCAGUGGCGAAGGCGGCCUGCUGGGCAGUGGCUGACGCUGAGGCGCGACAGCGUGGGGAGCAAACAGGAUUAGAAACCCCCGUAGUCC